Non-coding RNA from Pelobates cultripes (western spadefoot toad), 247 nucleotides. NCBI's taxonomy places the organism in Eukaryota, Metazoa, Chordata, Amphibia, Anura, Pelobatidae. The record is from the annotation of a GenBank genome assembly.
CACUGGUGUCUCGCCACCCCCCUCGUCCAAACCAAAAAUUCCCAUCAUCUUAAAUGCUCUACCACCAGCCGGCUUUUUGCUCGGUGGACACGUCCUAUUCGGUAACUUAAAAGUUUACCUUACAGAGCAGGGGAGGUUGAGACCCACCAUGUCCAUCUCCUGACAUUCCAUCUGCUCCCCAACCCUGUUGGCAAGGACACGCUCCCCGCUAGCUGUGACGGAACAAAAACAGAAAAUUAGGGUGGUU